RNAcentral lists this unclassified non-coding RNA (257 nucleotides) under uncultured Russula. Its description in RNAcentral is "sequence contains ITS2". Lineage: Eukaryota; Fungi; Basidiomycota; Agaricomycetes; Russulales; Russulaceae. The record is from RNAcentral.
AAUCCUCAAAACCCCCUUUUCUUUCAUCGGAACGGGGAUUUUGGACUUGGAGGUUCAAUGCUUGCUUUUGCUUUCAAAGGCGAGCUCCUCUUAAAUGAAUCAGUGGGGUCCGCUUUGCCGAUCCUUGACGUGAUAAUACGUUUCUACGUUUUGGAUCUGGCACUGUUUUCUCCGCUCCUAAUCGUCUCAUUGACAAUGAUGGCGCUUCGGUCCCCUGCCAUCUACGUUGGCGGGAGGCUGGACCCACAAAAAUAAAA